Molecule: long non-coding RNA, 406 nt
Organism: Bos indicus x Bos taurus (hybrid cattle)
Lineage: Eukaryota; Metazoa; Chordata; Mammalia; Artiodactyla; Bovidae
Source: Ensembl
UCCCUGAUACCGCCUACGCCCCGCCCCUCGCCGGCCCCGCCCUCGCUCCGCCUGCGCAGGCGCAAUUUCCCGCAAACCCGGAAGCGGAGGGAGGGGCGCAGCCCUUGGUUUUUAUGUCACGACUGGGUAUUUUAGACGCCCCUCACGCCCCGGAUCCGCCACAUCCAAGGUUCAGGGGUCGUCAAUUACGUUAAGAUCCCCUUCAUCCACUCGUCCGCCCUCGGACGAGAAUCCAGACUCCACUGUAGGACUUUACAAAAGGGGGCUCCGGAGGUGGGGUGACCCUCCACAACUGGUCCAAUCUGAGGGAAGAUACAGGCCUUCCCCUCCGAGGCUGACCAGACAUUGUCCUGUCCAGCGAGGUGCUGUGAUGUUGUGGAGGCCACUCCCUGUGAUGACAUCUUAG